This 252-nucleotide ribosomal RNA is filed under the name uncultured bacterium. Its description in RNAcentral is "partial 16S ribosomal RNA". It matches the Rfam family "Bacterial small subunit ribosomal RNA", at positions 524 to 776 of the family's 1533-position model. The record is from RNAcentral.
UACGUAGGUGGCAAGCGUUGUCCGGAAUUAUUGGGCGUAAAGCGCGCGCAGGCGGUUAUGUAAGUCUGAUGUUAAAGCCCGAGGCUCAACCUCGGUCCGCAUUGGAAACUGCGUAACUUGAGUGCAGAAGAGGAAAGCGGUAUUCCACGUGUAGCGGUGAAAUGCGUAGAGAUGUGGAGGAACACCAGUGGCGAAGGCGGCUUUCUGGUCUGUAACUGACGCUGAGGCGCGAAAGCGUGGGGAGCAAACAGG